UUCCGUAGGUGAACCUGCGGAAGGAUCAUUACUGUGAUUUACUACUACACUGCGUGAGCGGAACGAAAACAACAACACCUAAAAUGUGGAAUAUAGCAUAUAGUCGACAAGAGAAAUCUACGAAAAAACAAACAAAACUUUCAACAACGGAUCUCUUGGUUCUCGCAUCGAUGAAGAGCGCAGCGAAAUGCGAUACCUAGUGUGAAUUGCAGCCAUCGUGAAUCAUCGAGUUCUUGAACGCACAUUGCGCCCCUCGGCAUUCCGGGGGGCAUGCCUGUUUGAGCGUCGUUUCCAUCUUGCGCGUGCGCAGAGUUGGGGGAGCGGAGCGGACGACGUGUAAAGAGCGUCGGAGCUGCGACUCGCCUGAAAGGGAGCGAAGCUGGCCGAGCGAACUAGACUUUUUUUCAGGGACGCUUGGCGGCCGAGAGCGAGUGUUGCGAGACAACAAAAAGCUCGACCUCAAAUCAGGUAGGAAUACCCGCUGAACUUAAGCAUAUCAAUAA
RNAcentral lists this ribosomal RNA (503 nucleotides) under Pichia kudriavzevii. RNAcentral describes it as "eukaryotic LSU rRNA". The stretch from base 136 to 288 matches the Rfam family "5.8S ribosomal RNA". Lineage: Eukaryota; Fungi; Ascomycota; Pichiomycetes; Pichiales; Pichiaceae. The record is from RNAcentral.